RNAcentral lists this ribosomal RNA (372 nucleotides) under uncultured organism. RNAcentral's name for it is "partial 16S ribosomal RNA". It matches the Rfam family "Bacterial small subunit ribosomal RNA", at positions 527 to 896 of the family's 1533-position model. The record is from RNAcentral.
GUAGGUGGCAAGCGUUGUCCGGAAUUAUUGGGCGUAAAGCGCGCGCAGGCGGUUCUUUAAGUCUGAUGUGAAAGCCCACGGCUCAACCGUGGAGGGUCAUUGGUAACUGGAGAACUUGAGUACAGAAGAGGAAAGCGGAAUUCCACGUGUAGCGGUGAAAUGCGUAGAGAUGUGGAGGAACACCAGUGGCGAAGGCGGCUUUCUGGUCUGUAACUGACGCUGAGGCGCGAAAGCGUGGGGAGCAAACAGGGAUUAGAUACCCUGGUAGUCCACGCCGUAAACGAUGAGUGCUAAGUGUUAGGGGGUUUCCCGCCCCUUAGUGCUGCAGCUAACGCAUUAAGCACUCCGCCUGGGGAUACGGCCGCAAGGCUG